This 72-nucleotide transfer RNA is filed under the name Daldinia grandis. RNAcentral's name for it is "tRNA-Ala". It matches the Rfam family "tRNA". From Rfam's summary of the family: Transfer RNA (tRNA) molecules are approximately 80 nucleotides in length. Their secondary structure includes four short double-helical elements and three loops (D, anti-codon, and T loops). The record is from RNAcentral. Lineage: Eukaryota; Fungi; Ascomycota; Sordariomycetes; Xylariales; Hypoxylaceae. RNAcentral also lists the same sequence under 9 other names.
GGGCGUGUAACUCAGUGGUAGAGUGCUCGCUUCGCAUGCGAGAAGUCCAGGGUUCGACUCCCUGCUCGUCCA